AGAAUGCUUCAAGUCAUGUUGUCUUUACAGCAUACGCACAACAAAUUGCUACGUUACAGCAACAUGGCUGUAGGUGUUGCUUCCCUCUUCUUGCUGAGGAAUGCAAUCAAGCGAGGAACAAGCGCUCACAGCGACCUUUAAAAACAAGACACGUCUUGCCUCCUUUUGGUUCAAGUGGAAACACUGCACCAAUGAAGAAGAGUGCAAGAGGUGUGAACACAGCAGUGGAAACCAAUCAAACUGGUCGAUGGCUCUCACUAUGCAGCGGAGUCGUUAAGCUGAUACUCUCGCGAUCGGUCGAAGCAGGCGCGAACGCCGCUGUCGCCCCACAGCCGCCGGAUCACGGCGCUGAGCUCCGCCGACAUGACUCCCUCCUCCGCUGAGCUGGCGAGCGCAAACAGCUGUCGGGCAUCGUCCUGAGAACACACGCAUUCCUUUGUGUCAUAUACAGCUCACAACAUGCACGUUCAAAGGUUCUCGGCGUUGUUAGCUCACCGCCCGGGACUCAUCGCCAAAGUCUAUCUUUAAGCGCCCCAUUGCCCGGAUGAUGGCCAUGAUGGACUGGAUCGUGUUGCUGUACACCACAACUUUGUACUGACUGCAUUCCUCCUCUGAGUAGCCAUCUUCGUGAAUGAUCCUAGCAAUAAAAAAAAAAAAAAAAAAGCUUUCAGGCUGUAUAAAUAUUUUAAACGGUGAAGAAUGGCUCCUGCUCAAGUGGGACAUGUUAGUGAUCAGCAAUGUUUGAUGAAAGCUGUCAUUAGAGCUGGAAUUUGCGCUCUUGUGCGCAUGCAGCAUGUCUAAUGUGGGAACCGGGGGACUCUAUUCAUGUCUUGCCAAGCUAUGACUGGCCUUGGUGGCCUUUGUUUCACAUGUUCUGCAAAAUGUGGGGCUUUUUGCUUUGCCCGGGUGCAUCAAAAUGAGUCUGCGUUCUCGUUUCCACAUAGAUGAACCCUGUUUGUUGCCACAGACAACAAGGCUCAAAACAAAAAAACAACUUGUGUGUGUGUGUGUCUCAUGCUUACUUCAUCUGCUUGACUAGUGUGCUUUUCCCUGAUUCACCAGCACCUGAGAAUGAGAUAAGCAGCAAUCAUAUUAGAUCAUAGCCAUGGAACUUAUUCUGGUCACGCCCAAGUUACAUCUUAUGCAAUAUGCAUAUUUGCAUUACUGUAAAGAUCAUUGUGACUUCUUUAAAUAAAAACAACAACUCCAUUU
Molecule: long non-coding RNA, 1212 nt
Organism: Syngnathus acus (greater pipefish)
Lineage: Eukaryota; Metazoa; Chordata; Actinopteri; Syngnathiformes; Syngnathidae
Exons: 2
Source: RefSeq, a predicted model, not a curated record